This 64-nucleotide transfer-messenger RNA is filed under the name Firmicutes bacterium CAG:555. It matches the Rfam family "transfer-messenger RNA", at positions 310 to 374 of the family's 374-position model. Rfam says of the family: Bacterial tmRNA, also known as 10Sa RNA or SsrA, is named for its dual tRNA and mRNA-like properties. The record is from Rfam by way of RNAcentral. Lineage: Bacteria; Bacillati; Bacillota.
GCGCUCGGAGAAGUUCCUGUUAAAGCGUUUUCGGACAGGGGUUCAACUCCCCUCAUCUCCACCA